Molecule: ribosomal RNA, 619 nt
Filed under: uncultured fungus
Lineage: Eukaryota; Fungi
Description: eukaryotic LSU rRNA
Rfam family: 5.8S ribosomal RNA (bases 258-411)
Source: RNAcentral
CUUGGUCAUUUAGAGGAAGUAAGAGUCGUAACAAGGUUUCCGUAGGUGAACCUGCGGAAGGAUCAUUAAAAGUAUAUAGUUAUACAUUCUGUGUAUCGACUAAAUAUACCCAUUCUGAGUACCUUGCCUGUUGCUUCCAUGGAGCCUGACACAUGUCACUCUGGGGAUUUACAUCCCGAGGGAGCCUCCGUGGAAGGUAAUCUAUUAACUCUUGAAUCCAAUGUCAUCUGUCUGAUAAUGUUUAUAACAAAUGUUAAAACUUUCAACAACGGAUCUCUUGGUUCUCGCAUCGAUGAAGAACGCAGCGAAAUGCGAUAAGUAGUGUGAAUUGCAGAAUUCAGUGAAUCAUCGAAUCUUUGAACGCACAUUGCGCCUAGCGGUAUUCCGCUAGGCAUGCCUGUUCGAGCGUCAUUUCAACCCUCAAGCCUAGCUUGGUAUUGGGUGUCACCGGCACGGUGCGCCUUAAAAUCAGUGGCGGUGCCAUCUGGCUUCAAGCGUAGUAAUACUUCUCGCUCUGGAUCCCGGGUGGUUACUUGCCAACAACCCCAUAUUUUUUAAGGUUGACCUCGGAUCAGGUAGGGAUACCCGCUGAACUUAAGCAUAUCAAUAAGCGGAGGAA